This 64-nucleotide transfer RNA is filed under the name Andrena dorsata. Its description in RNAcentral is "tRNA-Asp". Lineage: Eukaryota; Metazoa; Arthropoda; Insecta; Hymenoptera; Andrenidae. The record is from RNAcentral.
AAAGAAUUAGUUAAAAAAUAACAUUAAAUUGUCAUUUUAAAAUUAUUAAUAUUAAUAUUUUUUC